GACGUAGGAGGCGAGCGUUAUCCGGAUUCACUGGGCGUAAAGCGCAUGUAGGCGGUUGUGUAAGUCGUGUGUAAAAGCCCCUGGCUCAACUGGGGGAGGUCAUGCGAGACUACACGGACUUGAGGGCAACAGAGGCACGCGGAACUCCCGGUGUAGCGGUGGAAUGCGUAGAGAUCGGGAAGAACACCCGUGGCGAAGGCGGCGUGCUGGGUUGCGACUGACGCUGAGAUGCGAAAGUGUGGGGAGCAAACGGG
Molecule: ribosomal RNA, 254 nt
Filed under: uncultured bacterium
Lineage: Bacteria
Description: partial 16S ribosomal RNA
Rfam family: Bacterial small subunit ribosomal RNA
Source: RNAcentral